AACGCACGAGACCUGCGGACCUGCGGAAGGAUCAUUACGCAAAAGACGUUUGAGACUAAUACUCAAAAACCACUGUGAACAUACCUGUAACUUUGCUCCGGCGGGCCUGCUCUGGGGGAGUAGAUGCCCUAAUAUAAUGGGUGCCCGUCGGAGUAGUAACAUUCUAUAUUUUGAGCUUUCUGAUUGUGGGACUAAAAUAUCACAACUUUCAACAAUGGAUCUCUAGAUCGGAAGAGCACA
RNAcentral lists this unclassified non-coding RNA (240 nucleotides) under soil metagenome. RNAcentral describes it as "partial contains 5.8S ribosomal RNA, internal transcribed spacer 2, and large subunit ribosomal RNA". The record is from RNAcentral.